RNAcentral lists this ribosomal RNA (253 nucleotides) under uncultured bacterium. RNAcentral describes it as "partial 16S ribosomal RNA". It matches the Rfam family "Bacterial small subunit ribosomal RNA", at positions 524 to 776 of the family's 1533-position model. The record is from RNAcentral.
UACGUAGGGUGCAAGCGUUGUCCGGAAUUAUUGGGCGUAAAGAGCUCGUAGGCGGUCUGUCGCGUCUGCUGUGAAAACCCGAGGCUCAACCUCGGGCCUGCAGUGGGUACGGGCAGACUAGAGUGCGGUAGGGGAGAUUGGAAUUCCUGGUGUAGCGGUGGAAUGCGCAGAUAUCAGGAGGAACACCAAUGGCGAAGGCAGAUCUCUGGGCCGUAACUGACGCUGAGGAGCGAAAGCGUGGGGAGCGAACAGG